RNAcentral lists this ribosomal RNA (497 nucleotides) under uncultured bacterium. RNAcentral describes it as "partial 16S ribosomal RNA". It matches the Rfam family "Bacterial small subunit ribosomal RNA", at positions 28 to 507 of the family's 1533-position model. The record is from RNAcentral.
GAUGAACGCUGGCGGCGUGCCUAAUACAUGCAAGUCGAGCGAACAGACGAGGAGCUUGCUCCUCUGACGUUAGCGGCGGACGGGUGAGUAACACGUGGAUAACCUACCUAUAAGACUGGGAUAACUUCGGGGAACCGGAGCUAAUACCGGAUAAUAUAUUGAACCGCAUGGUUCAAUAGUGAAAGACGGUUUUGCUGUCACUUAUAGAUGGAUCCGCGCCGCAUUAGCUAGUUGGUAAGGUAACGGCUUACCAAGGCAACGAAGCGUAGCCGACCUGAGAGGGUGAUCGGCCACACUGGAACUGAGACACGGUCCAGACUCCUACGGGAGGCAGCAGUAGGGAAUCUUCCGCAAUGGGCGAAAGCCUGACGGAGCAACGCCGCGUGAGUGAUGAAGGUCUUCGGAUCGUAAAACUCUGUUAUUAGGGAAGAGAAAAUGUGUAAGUAACUAUGCACGUCUUGACGGUACCUAAUCAGAAAGCCACGGCUAACUACGUG